UCACUGAUGGUCUAGUGGCUAGGAUUCGGCGCUCUCACCGCUGCGGCCCGGGUUCAAUUCCCGGGAAGGGAA
Gasterosteus aculeatus (three-spined stickleback) is the source of this 72-nucleotide transfer RNA. It matches the Rfam family "tRNA". Rfam says of the family: Transfer RNA (tRNA) molecules are approximately 80 nucleotides in length. NCBI's taxonomy places the organism in Eukaryota, Metazoa, Chordata, Actinopteri, Perciformes, Gasterosteidae. The record is from Rfam.